UAGAGUUUGAUCCUGGCUCAGAUUGAACGCUGGCGGCAGGCCUAACACAUGCAAGUCGAGCGGUAACACAGAGGAGCUUGCUCCUUAGGUGACGAGCGGCGGACGGGUGAGUAAUGCCUGGGGAUCUGCCCGAUAGAGGGGGAUAACUACGGGAAACUGUAGCUAAUACCGCAUAACGUCUACGGACCAAAGUGGGGGCUCUUCGGACCUCAUGCUAUCGGAUGAACCCAGGUGGGAUUAGCUAGUUGGUGAGGUAAUGGCUCACCAAGGCGACGAUCUCUAACUGGUUUGAGAGAAUGACCAGUCACACUGGAACUGAGACACGGUCCAGACUCCUACGGGAGGCAGCAGUGGGGAAUAUUGCACAAUGGGCGCAAGCCUGAUGCAGCCAUGCCGCGUGUGUGAAGAAGGCCUUCGGGUUGUAAAGCACUUUCAGCGGGGAGGAAGGGCUACUAGUUAAUACCUAGUGGCAUUGACGUUACUCGCAGAAGAAGCACCGGCUAACUCCGUGCCAGCAGCCGCGGUAAUACGGAGGGUGCAAGCGUUAAUCGGAAUUACUGGGCGUAAAGCGCACGCAGGCGGUUUGUUAAGUCAGAUGUGAAAUCCCCGAGCUCAACUUGGGAACUGCACUUGAAACUGGCAAGCUAGAGUCUUGUAGAGGGGGGUAGAAUUCCAGGUGUAGCGGUGAAAUGCGUAGAGAUCUGGAGGAAUACCGGUGGCGAAGGCGGCCCCCUGGACAAAGACUGACGCUCAGGUGCGAAAGCGUGGGGAGCAAACAGGAUAAGAUACCCUGGUAGUCCACGCUGUAAACGA
This 813-nucleotide ribosomal RNA is filed under the name uncultured bacterium. RNAcentral's name for it is "bacterial SSU rRNA". It matches the Rfam family "Bacterial small subunit ribosomal RNA", at positions 1 to 809 of the family's 1533-position model. The record is from RNAcentral.